This 71-nucleotide microRNA precursor is filed under the name Cebus imitator (Panamanian white-faced capuchin). RNAcentral's name for it is "miRNA (ENSCCAG00000006330.1)". Lineage: Eukaryota; Metazoa; Chordata; Mammalia; Primates; Cebidae. The record is from RNAcentral.
AGUAGAGACUGGGGUUUCACCAUGUUGGUCAGGCUGGUUUCAAACUCCUGACCUCAGGUGAUCCACCCACC